This 147-nucleotide unclassified non-coding RNA is filed under the name uncultured Eurotiales. RNAcentral's name for it is "sequence contains ITS1". The record is from RNAcentral. Lineage: Eukaryota; Fungi; Ascomycota; Eurotiomycetes; Eurotiales.
CCGAGUGCGGGCCCUCUCUGGGUCCAACCUCCCACCCGUGUCUACUUAUACCCUUGUUGCUUCGGCAGGCCUUCAAUGCCUGCCGGAGACACCAAACUGAACACUUUAUAUGAAGAUUGCUGUCUGAGUGGAUUGAUCAAAUCAUUA